This 327-nucleotide ribosomal RNA is filed under the name uncultured eukaryote. RNAcentral describes it as "partial 18S ribosomal RNA". It matches the Rfam family "Eukaryotic small subunit ribosomal RNA", at positions 1470 to 1796 of the family's 1831-position model. The record is from RNAcentral.
CCCUUAGAUGUUCUGGGCCGCACGCGCGCUACACUGACGAAUGCAACGAGCUUAUAACCUUGGCCGAAAGGUCUGGGUAAUCUCCAAAUUUCGUCGUGAUGGGGAUAGAUUAUUGCAAUUAUUAAUCUUCAACGAGGAAUGCCUAGUAAGCGCAAGUCAUCAGCUUGCGUUGAUUACGUCCCUGCCCUUUGUACACACCGCCCGUCGCACCUACCGAUUGAAUGGUCCGGUGAAAUCUUCGGAUCUGAGAGAUGUCUGAUUAAUUUCGGACGCCUUUUGGAAAAGUUGUUUAAACCUUACCAUUUAGAGGAAGGUGAAGUCGUAACA